CCCCUUCUUAGGAAGGGUGUCACUGUGUCUAGCAGGUGGAAUAGGGGAGUGAAUCAUAAGAGUAAAUGUGUGACAAUGUGUGAGUUGAGAUAAAGACAGUUUAAUAGUUAGAAGAAGAAGAAGAAGAAG
Lonchura striata (white-rumped munia) is the source of this 129-nucleotide non-coding RNA. The record is from RefSeq and is a predicted model, not a curated record. Lineage: Eukaryota; Metazoa; Chordata; Aves; Passeriformes; Estrildidae.